Molecule: non-coding RNA, 3411 nt
Organism: Heterocephalus glaber (naked mole-rat)
Lineage: Eukaryota; Metazoa; Chordata; Mammalia; Rodentia; Bathyergidae
Source: RefSeq, a predicted model, not a curated record
UCAAAACAAACCUCUCCUCCUUUAAGUUGUGGGUGUCAGGUAUUUGUCCCAGCAAGGAGAAGGUGACUAAGACAAGCAUCAUCAAGAAUGAGUCAUGACAAACUAUCACACCACAUUUUUCGACAUGCUGCAUCCUGGAGAGGACAGACUGCCUAAGAGGCCCCUCAUGUCAUCCUUGUAAACUUGGUGAAGCCACGUGGGCUAGAUGGCAAUACAACCGGGGAGACUCAUUGUUAGCUGACUAACUGAACUCACAAAGUAGAGCAUGAUAGAUCCAAGUCGCCCCGGGCGCUAUGGACUUUGUCCUCAGCCCAGCAAGUAAGACUUGGAUAUUGGUGCCUUGAAUGAAGUCACAGAGAGUAUUCCUACAGAAUCCCAUGCGUUGCCACACUGAGAUGGAUGCAGAUAUACCAUGGGCUGAGACACAACUGAAACAGACCUCCGUGGGUUUAUGACAAUAAACCAGCCACCCAGCAAUACAGGGGAGCCUUAGACUUCUUCAUGGCUUUCACAGCACUUUCUCGCUAGGCUAUUUUAUUUGGUCAUCAUCACCAGUAUAUACACCGGUGCAGCUUUGCACACCUACUUCAUGGUCCUUUCUCUAGCCCAUCUUGCUGAGGGGGAGCAAGAGUUUUCCCCCAGGUUCAAAACAUACAGCAUGGGAUAGAAUGUCCAUCGGAAAAGCAUUUUAGUUGAGCACAAACUCAAACAGCAUUAACUCGGUUCCUUUAAUCAAGGAUAAGGUGAAGAGAAAAGAAGGUGGCACUACAAUUACUCUCUGCUUUGUGGCUUUGCGUUUAGUUCCAGCUACCAUGUUGAAGAUCCCCUCUAAGACAAGAGUUAACCAGGUGUGAUGGCGCAGGCCUGUGAUAUUAGCACCCUGGGAGGCUGAGGCAGGAGGAUCACAAGUUCCAGCCCAGCCCAGACAACUUUGUGAUUUAGGGAAACCUUGCCUCAGAAUAUUAAUUAAUUAAUUAAUUAAUUAAUGGCUGGUGAUGUCGCUCAGUGUGAAGGCCCUGGGUUUAAUCCCUAGUACCAUAAAAAAAGAGCUCCCCCAAGAGAGGCUUAUUAGGACCGUGGAGAAUAUCACAUCCCCUGAAGAAGAUGGGAGAAGCUGGGACAUCUGCUUGUGUGAGAGAGACACCCUACCACGGCUGGCUUUGGUAUCAGAAGCACUCUCAUGAACAAGAUGAAUUCGCAGUGUUCUCUGUGGUUCCAGGGGAUGGAUGCAGGACUGACGCGUAUUCAGGGGGCAUCGUGUCAGCUCAACAGGCACAGAACCUCCUGGACUCGCAGCCCCCCUCAGAAACAGCAGGUCACCACAAAAACUGUGAGUGCCCCAGCUCUGAGCGUCCCGGCACAGCAGGAGCUGAGAGGGCUCCGAGGCACCAACCGCAUCCUCUGUCUGCUCGGCAGUGAGCACAAACUGAGGGCACUGUCCCCGGAGCAGGGGAGGCGGCUGUGGGCUAGAAGGCACCGUCCCACCGUCAGGGAACUUUGGGGACCAGUGAUUAGAAAGAGGCAGGGAGUGCUGAUGAACAUGAAAACUUCUGAUAAACACUAUUACCCCAACGGCCUGGUCCUCAGAACACAGAGGAACUGGAAAGGUAAUGAAAAUAACUGUCAGUGUGUAAGUGUACAACUAAAAGAAAGCAUGGAAUUUUCCCUAUUGGCAUGGGAUCUGGGUUUCUUAAACGAGCAAUUAGUCAAAUAGAAGAUGAUCUAUGAUCAAAGGACCUGUAGCCUCUGAAGUCACUGGGAUUCCAUCAGACAUGUCUGUGCCUUCCUGCAAAGUCCCUUUGGAGACAAACUCGAUGAGCUGAGGACUAGGACUCAGCAGGGUCUGGCAGAGCAAUAGGGGGAGCAAGAAUCAGUGGAAGCAAACAGGGAAGACUGGGAAUGUGGACGCGUGAACUUGAAAAUAAAUGCGUGUAAUAAAUACGCCCAAAACACACAAGGUCAGAGCCUACAGAACCACAUGACCCAAACUUCAGACUUUAAUAGGCAGAGCCCCACAGGAAGGAUCUCAGGUCUGCAGACACCCUCUGCCUCCUGCCAGGACUGCGGCCUUGAAAGCUGACCUGCUCUGGGAUUGGGUUGGGGACACCUCCAACCCACUCCACCGCCUGUUCUCCAGGUCCGCCCAUGAGACACAGAGCCCAAGUCCUUCCUGCUUCUCCUAUGCCACCUCCCACCUCAAGCACAGCCUUGUAAAACCUAUGCCCCUGUCCCCAGCCUUCAGAACAAAACACAUUCAGAAGACGAAAGCAGCUCUGCAGACGAUGAGAUGACCCCGGGCGCUGGUUCUCAUGUCUGCAGAAGCCCCGGGCACAGGAAGGUUGAUGGUUAGAGACUGCAAAGUGCCUGGGGUUGUGGCCUGGAAAAAGAGGCAGCUCUGGGGUUCUCUACACCUCCUGCCCUAGAUGGGUGUCUCCCAUCCUGUCCCAACAGCAAGGACACCGAAGAGCAGAAGCACCAUCCCUUCAGCCAGUAGAAGCUGAGGCACCAGGGUCCGGAGGAGGUGGGGAGUCUAUGGCAGUGGCUGCUAUGGCUCAGAUGAAAAAUGUUCCCCAAAGCCCCGUGUGUUUGGAAGCUCCUCCCUUGGCUCUUGCUUCCUGGACACCAUGAAGGGAGCAGCUGUCCUCUGCCCUGCGCCCUACCAUUCUGGGUCUUCUUCCAAGCUGGCCAAUCACAGACUGAAACAUGAGCCAAAAUAAACCUCUGCUCCUUUAAACUGUCAGGUCCUGCGUCUCAGUGAUAAGAAAAGUAACUGAGAGCGCGGGGUGGCCCUGAGCACCCUCCUGCUUCUGCCAUCCACAGGGGCGGGUGCACAGUAAAGACUGGCAGCUCUCAGAAAAGAGCCUGGCAGGGUUGGGUUGGCCAGGAUGUAGCGUGAGCCCUGAAAUCAAGGAAAACCAAGACGGACUGUGAACACCAGCAUUCUCCACCUUGUGGGUACCCAUCCACCUACUCUCUAAAACCCCAGAGAGAGCCCAAGUGAGGUCCUGGCUCUCCUACUGCUCCUGCUCCAUGUCACCAUGCACAGUAGCUGUGGCUCACCAGGAAAAACAAGACAUCUAUCCAAGGAGAGCAAAUGCUCUCUGUCUAUAUCAGGAAGCAGCAUUAAUAAGCAAAACAGAAAACAAAUUCAAAAUAUACAAUACAUAUCCGCAGAGAAGAGAAGAUAUUGGGAGUAGAAAGCAUGAACAGGCAGUUAUAAGGAAGAGCCAGGCGGAAACCUGGGUGUGAAGAACACUAUAGCUUUGUGCAAUGGGAACAGAGUCCAGUUUGGGAAGAUACACACGUUCUGGAGAUGGGUUGUGGGGAUGGUUGCACAAUAACAGGGGUGUACUUCAUGCUGCUGAACUGUACCCUUAAAGAGGCUUAAAAUGGUAAAUUUUAUGUUAUGCA